Molecule: ribosomal RNA, 406 nt
Filed under: uncultured bacterium
Lineage: Bacteria
Description: partial 16S ribosomal RNA
Rfam family: Bacterial small subunit ribosomal RNA
Source: RNAcentral
AUUGAACGCUGGCGGCAGGCUUAACACAUGCAAGUCGAACGAGUGGCGGACGGGUGAGUAAUGCUUGGGAAUCUGGCUUAUGGAGGGGGAUAACGACGGGAAACUGUCGCUAAUACCGCGUACCAUAGGAUGAGCCCACGUGGGAUUAGCUGGUUGGCGGGGUAAAGGCCCACCACGGCGACGAUCAGUAGCGGGGCUGAGAGGAUGAUCCGCCAGAAUGGGACUGAGACACGGCCCAGACUCCUACGAGAGGCAGCAGUGGGGAAUUUUGGACAAGGGGCGCAAGCCGGAUCCAGCCAGGCCGCGUGUAUGAAGAAGGCCUUGGGGUUGUAAAGUACUUUCAGCGAGGAGGCGUUACCCGCAGAAGAAGCACCGGCUAACUCCGUGCCAGCAGCCGCGGUAAUUC